This 31-nucleotide non-coding RNA is filed under the name Mus musculus (house mouse). The record is from RNAcentral. Lineage: Eukaryota; Metazoa; Chordata; Mammalia; Rodentia; Muridae.
UACCAUAUAUUUUUCUACACCUAUUAGCACA